UACAGGAGUGUGUGCAUCUGUGUAUAGGGGUGCAUGUGUGUGAGUGUGCAUCUGUGUACAGGAGUGUGUGCAUCUGUGUAUAGGGGUGCAUGUGUGUGAGUGUGCAUCUGUGUACAGGAGUGUGUGCAUCUGUGUACAGAAGUGCAAGUGUGUGAGUGCAUCUGUGUACAGAAGUGUGUGCAUCUGUGUAUAGGAGUGCUUGUGUAUGAGUGUGCAUCUGCGUACAGGAGUGUGUGCAUCUGUGUAUAGGGGUGCAUGUGUGUGAGUGUGCAUCUGCAUACAGGAGUGUGUGCAUCUGUGUAUAGGAGUGCUUGUGUAUGAGUGUGCAUCUGCGUACAGGAGUGUGUGCACCUGUGUAUAGGAGUGCAUGUGUGUGAGUGUGCAUCUGUGUACAGGAAAGUGUGCAUCUGUGUAUAGGAGUGCUUGUGUAUGAGUGUGCAUCUCUGUGUACAGGAGUGUGCAUCUGUGUAUGGGAGUGCAUGUGUGUGAGUGUGCAUCUGCGUACAGGAGUGUGUGCACCUGUGUAUAGGAGUGCAUGUGUGUGAGUGUGCAUCUGCGUACAGGAGUGUGUGCAUCUGUGUAUGGGAGUGCGUGUGUGUGUCUGCAUGUGUACGGGAGUCUGUGUAUGUGUGAGCACACAUCUAUCCGGGAGAGCCUGAGUGUGCAUCUGUGUAGGGGUACGUGUGUGUGCAUGUGAGCUGCAUCUGUGUAGGGGAGUGCUUGUGUGUGUGAAUGUGCAUGCAUGACUGUGCAUCUGUGUAUAGGAGUGUGUGUGUGUCUGAACAGCUGAGAGGGAUCUCGGGCAGAGGACGCGAGAGUGGGGCGGGGGCGAGACUUGGGCUGUGCUUGAGAACAUGAAAGAGCGAUGAGUCAAUGCCGCAUUGUUUUUCUAAACUCCUAAUGCAAACAACAUGUGGGGCAGGGCCCAGCUGGUGCCCAGGGAGCCCCUGACGGGGUCCUCAGGAAACAGGUGCUCCUGGAAAGCUUCCUGCCGCUGGGCUGUGGCGAGAGGGCGAGGCCACCAUGCGUUUACGAUCUUCAGGCAGGCCCAGCUGCAGCUGGGUGGGAAUCCAUGGCCACACGCCCCAGCGGUGCAGGCCUCAGCUGGGAUAGGCUGCACGCCUUGGCCACACCCAGCUUCACAGGCAGAUGGGAGGUGUGGCCCUGCAGUGCUCCGCCCACUCCGUGGAAUCGUUGAUGAGGGGGUUAUGAGCAUCUUUCAUUUGCAAAGCUGUCACCAAGGAUUCUCCCAACGUGUGGCUCCGAUCAUGGCGCCAGCAGCUGCGAAUGCUUGGGGCUGUUUCUAAGUGCCUUCUACCACGUGGCAGAACCUCAGCCUUCGCAUCCUUGCCAGUUUGAGAGGGCGAUGGCACCUUCUAAGUUGUGGAGGCUAAGAAGAAAAAAGCGGGCCUGGCGAUGGGGCACAGUGAGUUCGGCAUCCCACACGCAUGCAGGCUGCAGUCCCAGCUGCUCUGCUGCUGACCGGCUCUCUGCCAGUGAGGCUGGGAAAGCAGCACAGGGGGCUCAGGUAACUGGAUUCCUGCCACCCAUGUGGGAGACCUGGAUUGUGUUCUCAGAUCCCAGCUUCGGCCCUAGCCACUGCAGGCAUUCGGGGCGUGAACUGGAGCAGAGGCGUAAAAGGGAGCUGCGCCCCCGACUCCAUCCUAUCUUGUCAUUCUGCCUAUGAAAUAAAUAAAUCAUUUUCAAAAGUUAGAAAAAUGAAAGCUUUCCCCCUCACUAUCUUUUUUUUUAAGAUAUAUUUAUUUGAAAGGCAGAGUUACAGAGAGGCAGAGAGAGAGAGAGAGAGAGAGAGAAAGAGAGAGAGAGAGAGAGAAAGAGAGAGAGGGAGAGAGAGAGGGAGAGGGAGAGGGAGGUCUUCCAUCUGCUGGUUCUCUCCUCCAGAUGGCUGCAGUAGCAGGAGCUGCACCAGUCUGAAGCCAGGAGCCAGGAGCUUCUUCCAGGUCUCCCAUGUGGGUACAGGGGCCCAAGGACUUCAGCCAUCUUCUACUGCUUUCCCGGGCCAUAGCAGAGAGCUGGAUUGGAAGUGCAGCAGCCAGGACUAGAACCGGUGCCCAUAUGGGAUACUGGCACUGCAGGCAGCAGCUUUACCUGCUGCGCCACGUUGCUGGCCCCUAUCUUUUAAAUCCUGUACUAAGACAAAUUUAAACAACUGCCUAUAUCAUUCCAUACUCCUAGAGCACUGGUCCCACACUCUCAACAUUAAGUAAUAGACUUAACCUUCAGUUGAGUCUCAGCACAUUUUAACCGCCACAGGGGGAUGGCUGCUAAUCUCCCUGACCCUCCCAACCUGUGCCACCUCAGAUCUCCUACCCUGAUCUGCAGCAACUACACCCUUGCCAGGGUCCAGGCCGAAGCCCCGAGUCACUUUGAGUGUUCUCUAAUUCUCACGCCGCACGCCUGCCUGGGCAUCUACUGGAGGCUGCAAGGAUAACCUGCCUGAGAGCCGGAGUCGGCAGCCGGAGCUGGCAGCCGGGAGGCAGGGGAGACUGAGGGGCUGAAGACAGUGUCUGGAAGCCACCAGUGAGCAGAGGAGCGAUGUCCACAUGGAGUAGGGUGAGACCGGAGAGGAGGUUCUGGGGGGACUGAUGGCGAGCAGCCAGCCGCAAGGAGGGGACACAGCCAGAGCAGGCCUCCCGAGGCCAUACCGUGCUCUCUGCAAGCAAAUAAGCACAAACCCUGAUCCAUGGAGCUUGCUGAUAGCCAUGACAUGAACACUCCCACUGUGGCCCACUUCAAGCAGCAACGUGGUGUCGUGGACCAUGGCCUGGAGAGCUGUGCACCAAUCACCUCUUGCAAACUGAUAGGAGCUGGCUGCUGCUCACCACCGCCUGGAAACCAAGCAGAGAAGACCUUGCCAAAAGAGUUGUAAGAAUGAAAGUGCGACCUGUUCAGUGCCGUCGAAGUGUCAGAUUAGCUGAGAGCCUCCGUGGUGAUGUGUGUAACAUUCUGCCUCACAGAGAUGUUCAGCCGAGCUCAGGCAAGAUGCCAGGACAGUACAGCAUGCCCUGUGUGCAAAGUCCAGACCUCCCAGGACAACGUACAAACCAGGGAAAGAAAGAAGCCACUGCUGACUGUGCGGCUUGUGCAUUCUCAGUCUGUGCUGUUUUCUGACAGAUGCACCCAGGCUAUAACUGGCCCUCUAAGUAUAGCUUUAACUGCGUUCUACAAAUGUUUUUUUUUUUUUUUAAAGAUUUAUUUAUUUAUUUGAAAGAGUUACACUGAGAGUGAAGGAGAGGCAGAGAGAGAGAGAGGUCUUCUGUCCUCUGGUUCACUGCCCAGUUGGCCGCAAUGGCUAGAGCUGCACGGAUCUGAAGCCAGGAGCCUCUUCCGGGUCUCCCAUGGGGGGUGCAAGGGCCCAGUCACUUGGGGCAUCUUCUACCGCUUUCCCAGGCCAUAGCAGAGAACUGGAUUGGAAGUGGAGCAGCCGGGGCUCGAACAAGCACCCAUAUCAGAUGCCAGCACUGCAAACAGCAGCUUUACCCACUACAUCACAGCACUGGCCCCAGCAUUCUAUAUGUUUUUAUGUGUAUUAUUUUAAUUAUCAUUUGUUGAAAAUAUUUUAAAUGCAAUCAAGCCUUUUUCUAAGGUUUUAGGGGUUUUGUUGUUGUUUUUCAAGAUUUAUUAUUUGAAAGGCAGAGUCAAAGAAGUAGACAGAGAGAGAGAGACAUGUCUUCCAUCUGCUGGUUCACUCCCCAAAUGGCUGCAAUGGCCGGAGCUGAGCUUAUCCGAAGCCAGGAGUCAGGAGUUGCCUCCGGGUCUUCCAUGCGGGUGCCGUGGCCCAAAGACUUUUACCAUCUUCUACUGCUUUCCCAGGCACAUUAGCAGAGAGCUGGAUCAGAAAUGGUGCAGUCGGGACUCAAAGCGGCACCCAUAUGGGAUGCUGGCAUUCCAGGCGGCGACUUUACCUGCUACGCUAUAUUGCCAGCCUCUGGUGUUUUUGUUCUGUUUUGUUUUGUUUUGUUUUGUUUAAGAUAAAUGCUUAAUUUCCAAACAUCAGCACUUUCUAGUUAUCUUUUUAAUGAUCAUUUCUAAAUUAUGUUGUGAAAUAUACUUUUUUUAAAAAAAGAUUUAUUUAUUUAUUUAUUUAAAAGAGCUACAGAGAGGGAGAGACAAAAGAUCCAUCUGCUGGUUCACUCCCCAGAUGGCCGCAAUGACUGGGGCUGGGCCAGGCCGAAGCCAGGAGCUUCUUCCGGGUCUCCCAUGUGGUGCAGGGGCCCAAGCAGUUGGGCCAUCCUCCGUUGCUAUUCCCAGGCCAUAGCAGGGAGCUGGAUCAGAGGUGGAGCAGCCAGGACUCAGACUACUGCGGAUAUGGGAUGCUGAUGUUGGAGGCGGUGGCUAUGUGCUAUGCCACAACGCCGGCACCAUGGAUGUACUUUCCAUGAUUUCAGUUCUUUGAGAUGGUUUUGAAACUUGCUUCCCUGUAACAGUUCAUUUUGGUAAAUUUCCCUGUGUGAGCUUGAAAAGGACAUGUUGUUAAGUAGUUGUUGAAUGCAAUGCUCUACACGUGUCUACUAGGUCAGAUUCGUGGAUCAUUGUGAUCACCUUGGUGUGAGCAUACCCCAUUGACGUUUGCCUGCUUGUUGUGGAAGUUACUGAGAGAGAUCAGAAGUAUGUUAAUGCCACCCACUAUAAUUUUCUGUUGUCCGUUGCUUCCUCUGGUUUUCAUGCGUGUUGUCUCUGCCCAUCUCUGGUUAUUUUUAUUGUCUGCUUCACGUUAUAAUUUUAAGCAAGGAUCCGGCAUUUAGCUUGGUAACUGAGGCACCCACAUGUCGUAUCGGAAGACGUGGAUUUGAGUCCCAGCUCCAGCUCCUGACUCCAGCUUCCUGCCAGUGCAAACCCUGGGAGGCGGAGGUGACAGUGAAGUGACGGGGUUCUUGCCACCCACACAGAGUUGGGCUCGGUUCCCACAUCUCCGUUCCAGGGCCAAUCCAGACCCGGCCAUUGCAGACUUGGGAAGUGAACCUGUGUGAGUGUGUGUGUGUGUGUGUACAAAUAAAAAAAAAUUCAAACCUUGUCAGUAAAGUGAUUCAGCGUCUAGAACGCUCUCCUCUCCGUCCAGAACGGGGUCAUGCUGCUACUCUUGGAGGCUGAGGGCACCUGCAAUCCUGAAUCCAGUUUUGGAGUUGGGGGUUCCUUGAAGCUGAGCGGUAGUGAGUGGUAGUUCCUGCCAGGGCUGUUCUAGCGCUGCUGCGGGCAUUUGUGGAGUGAAUCAGUGAGUGGAAGAUCUGUGUGUGUGUGUGUGUGUGUGUGUGUGUGUGUGUCUGCCUUUCAAGCAGAGAAAAGUAAAUAAAAAUUAUUAGAACACAGACAUUCAUCGCAGGUGCUGGGUCCCCUUGGCAGAGCACGGCCACCAUGUGUGCUGGCUCUAGGGAGAGACAGCAUCUCCCAGGGCAGGGUGGAACCUUCAGGGUCCUGUCCUUCAACCUCCCUGCACCCUGCACGUUCACUUCUUUAGGAAGUCACCUCUGCUGGAGCACCCGCAGUGAUGGGGGGAGGGGCUCACUACUCUUCCCUCCCACUGGGAACAGCAGGGAAGAAAGUGACCAUCACGCAGUUGUUAUCUUCAUGUGAGAUGUUAAUAAGAACACGGUGAUGACUACAGGAGCAUUGUUCGGUGUUGAGCAGGUCCUUGCACUCACUCCAGCACAGUAGUUUUCUCCGUAUUAUCUCAUUUAGUGUUUGGAACUGAAUUACCGUGCCCCUCCCCAGCCCACUUGGACAAAGACAGGAAGUUCUCAAUUUACGAACUAAUUGUGCUCCUGCAAUUCCUUUGUGAGGCUGCUGUUUGGAUGACAGACCGCUGCUCCACGUAAACAAUGCUAUAAAUGGCCCUGGGGGCCCACCCCCCGGGGCCCCACCCCCCCUACUCCACAAGCCCCUUGGCUUGUGUGAAGCUCACCCUUCACACCCGAUGGACCUCCACACACUUACAGUAAAGGGAACAGAACGAAGUUGGGCUAGACAGCAGUCCCGAACAGUGCAGGAAAACCGUGAUUAGGUGGGGGGACUGUUGGUCAUCCACACUGGCUGCUGGAGGAAGCGCCUGCCCCAGAAGGGGCAUCCUGGGAACUGGUUUCAAAGCCGGCUCCCUCCCACUGGUAGAAGGAGAUAGCGUGCCCCAGAACACUGGAUCUGAUGGUGGGGAUGGUGCAGACUCCGAGGAGUGGGCUGGACCCAACUUGUGUGGCCCCCUACCCUGCACCUCUCCCAGCAAACACCAGGUCCGAGCGCCUGGCACACAGGAAGUGCUCGCUGAAUGGUGAUUCACACUGUUAAAAAUAAUGUAAGUGCAGCAAGGUCAGUGUCUGGAGAAGACAAAAAAAGCAAGCAGUUCCCAAGGCUAGGCACUGAGCCCUGCUCAGAACACAUGGGCCUCUCCCACCUCACCCUUCCCAGUAUCUCCGCCCUGCAGCGAACUGGGAGCUGAAAGGGAGCCUGUACGCCCUCCUACUUCAUUGUCACAGAAGGCCUUGGUGAGGGGCCGCUUCAGCCAACCAGGGCAGCCUUGAAGUCUGCUGAAACCUAGGAGGCACAAUAGAUGCAGGUGGAGUAUUCCUUAUCCAAAAUGCUGCGGACCUCAAGUGUUUUGGAUUCCAGAUUCCACCCCCCCACUGGGGGAUAUUUGCAUACAUGCAUACAUAAUGUGGUCUACUGUGGUCCACUUGCUCCUGUGACAAACCACAGCAGAGAACCAACUCAAGUCCUGGCUGCUCUGCCUCCCAUCCAGCUCCAGGCUCAUGCAUCUGGGAAAGCAGCAGAACAUGGUCCAGGCACUUGGACCCCUAACAGCCAUGUGGGAGAUCCCGAUGGAAAUCCCGGCUCCUGGCUUCAGCCUAGACCAGUCCUGGCGGUUGUAGCCAUUUGAGGAGUGAACCAACUGGCAGAUAGAGGAUCUCUGUCUCUGUCUCUCUUUCUCUCUGCUCUUCAGGUAAAUACUUAAAUCUUUUUUAAAAAGGAAUUAUCUUGAAGAUGAGGCCUUGGCUAAUCAUGAAAUUGGUUUUUGUUUCAUGUACAACUCACACAACCUGAAGGUAGUUUGCCUGCUGUCUGCACCUGUGCUCUGCCCACCCCCUUCAUGUGAGGUCAGCUGUGGAGUUGUCCACAGACCCAAAAGCUUUCAGACUUCGCAGCAUUUCAGAUGUGGGAUUUUCCGAGUAGCUCUGCUCAACCCAUGGGGAAUUCAGACGACACUGCACAGGCUGUGCCCAUAGGUUGUCUCCAGACCUGGCUCGUUCACCCAGAGCGUUGUACUUUGGACAGUCAUCUCAAAAACUCACAUAGCCACAUUUAGCCAAGGGCAGCCACAAAAUUCCAGUCCCAGUGUUCAGGUGUUCCCUCACCUGAUAGCCAUUGUAUGAUCUAAAUGACACAGGUACCAGGGGAAGAAGAAAGAUGGGCAUAUGAGGUCAAGGUUGCAUUCACGAUGCAGGGAGGGCAAGCCAUGUGUGUGUGUGUGUGUGUGCGUGGGCGUGCGCCCGUACCCGUGCGCAUACACUGAGAAACUGAGGCUUUGAAAUAGUUCAAGUAAGGAAAGGUGGCAAAAGAAUCAAUCAACCAAGAGUUUUAAAAUGAGCCAGGGAAGACCUUUCUCUCUCUCUCUCUCUCUCUCUCUGUCCGUUCUGCCUGUAAAAAAAAAAAAAAAAAAAGCCAGGGGGCCAGCCUUGUGGCACAGCAGGUUAAGCUGCUGUUUAUGACACCAACAUCCCAUAUUGGUGCACUAGUUCGAGUCCUGGCUGUUCCACUUCCUAUACAGCUUCCUACUAAUGCGCCUGAGAAAGCAGCAGAAGAUGGGGAAGAUGGCCCAAGUACUUGGGGCCCCCGCUGCGCAUGUGGGAGACCCAUUUAGAGUUCCUAGGUCCUGGCCCAGCUCCAGUUGUUGCAGCCACUUGAGGAGUGAACGAGUAGAUGGAAGAUGUCUUUGUCUCUUGUCUCUCCUUCUCUUUCAAAUAAAUAUAAAUUUAAAAAGUCAAAAGAAAGUGCCAGAUUCCUGGCCAGGCUGCAGGGUUGGUGAGACAGCAGGCCAUUCGUUUGCUUGUGUGCAUGGCAGCCAACUGGACAGCCUGUUAAAAUGCAGGUUCCCGGAUCCUCCCCCAGCUGCUAAGUCAGAAGCUCCAUGGGUGUAUUUUUUUUUUUUUUUUUGACAGGCAGAGUGGACAGUGAGAGAGAGAGACAGAGAGAAAGGUCUUCCUUUGCCGUUGGUUCACCCUCCAAUGGCCGCCGCGGCUGGCGCGCUGCGGCCGGCGCACCACGCUGAUCCGAUGGCAGGAGCCAGGUACUUAUCCUGGUCUCCCAUGGGGUGCAGGGCUCAAGGACUUGGGCCAUCCUCCACUGCACCCCCUGGCCACAGCAGAGAGCUGUCCUGGAAGAGGGGCAACCGGGACAGAAUCCGGCGCCCCGACCGGGACUAGAACCCGGUGUGCCGGCGCCGCAAGGCGGAGGAUUAGCCUAGUGAGCCGCGGCGCCGGCCCAUGGGUGUAUUUUUAACAUGCUCGCCAUGCACCUGCUAGAGUGUCAAGCUGGGCAGCUCAGAGGGCUAGAAGAACCCAAGCUUUCAGUCCAUAGCUCUGAUUUCACAACUUGCUGCCGUCUCCCUGCCAUGCGACUUGGCCUCUCCGGGUUUCAGUUUUGCAUCGAUGAGCUGGGCACAGAAACAGCCACGUUGUGUGGGGCUUAUUUUGAGGAUUAGUAGCGCACACAAAGCACCCGGGGUGGCGACUAGAACACAAUAGAUGCUCAGUAGGCCGUAGUUGCGGUUAGGAUUUGAGUGCCUGGAAGAGACCAACCUGUUGGCACUGGCAGGCAGGUGAGAGCGGAGAGCAGCCCAGGGGCUCAGCACUUUGCUCUCCACAGCUUCUCAGCAAUGGGUCGACCCAAAGCGCACAAGUGUUCCCUGGAGGACAGCACCUUCAGCCUGUACCGUGAACAUGGCUUGUCACGCUAGCUCUGAAACAUGGAACAGAAGUUGCGAAGGAAGUGGUGCUGUGGGAUCCCCCCACACACACUUUCUCCCCUCACCAUCCCAUGCCUGCUGCCUGAGCUCAUCUAUACCAGACUGGCGCCUCUCCCUAUAGAAACAAAAUUUACACAGCUCACUUGGCAUUCCAAUUCCAUCUGUGUGGCUUUGAGAAAACCACACAGCCACUCUGAGACUGCAGUGUCUGCCCCUAACUAGGGAGAGCAUGGUGACAGCCAUUCAUCCAUCCUGGGGACGUUCGCUGAGCAGCUACUAGUGGGGCCCUGGCUAACAGUGAGCUGGUAGACCCCGUCCUCAUCUCCUCAUCGCUGGCGGAUAGGCCAAUGGGAGAGCUGGGCUUUCAAACCCCACCCCCAAAAAUGCAAAUGUCUGAUUGCAAAACAAAAGCAUCUACCUUAGAUAGGUCAGGUCAUGGUUCUUCCAACACUGUUUUAGCAGCAGAACGCUUUGUUCGACUGAAACCGACACAGGACAAGGUCACGGAAAACAGAUCAAAGGGAAGCAGCUCCGAGGCCCCAGAGCUGUCUCCAGGGAGAGCCAGUUCAAGGAACAGAGCUGGAAACCGUGCUGGGAGCGAGAGGUGAGGAAGUGUUUGCGGGUGGCGGAGCCCAGGCCAGGUUCACAGAGAAACAGUGACUCCCCUCCUUCGCUUUGUCCUUUCUCUUUCUCUCAUCAUCCAGGACCCCCACAUCUCUCGGCUGCAGAAGCACUGGCUGCCCAGAAACCCCUGUCCCUCCUGGCUGAGGGAUUCCGGGGCGCUGAGCUUCCUGGGGUCCCUGGGAGCGGGAGCCAGGGAGUCUGGGCAGCCAGCGCUGGAAAGCGGCUCACUGCCGAGGCCGAUUAUCUGAUGGAGCGCUUCCUUCAUCAGUGCUAAUAUCCAUGUAGCGAAACAAUGAAAGGGUUUCCUAUCAGUUCCAAAUAGGACGUGAAAAACUCUCCGUGCUAAGAGUAGAGGAUGCUCGAAUAGGGCAAUGGGAAACGGCUGAAUCACCAGAGGGCCUCUUUGAUUCCCACGGCCCAGUCACUGAGAGGGAAGACAGAGAGAGUGGUUCAUUAGCUGUGCGAGGGAGGGCGGGGACAGGAAGAACUGGCCCUUCACGUGGGACCUCCCGGAUGGCGGAUGGCUGAGAGCAGAGAAGCCCAGCUUUGGGGACACCACCCUGAGGAGGAGGCAGAGCCCGCAGCUUCACCCAUGCACCUGCCCGGCUCCUCCCACCCCCAGCAGCUGAGCGUGUGUGUGUGUGUGUGUGUGUGCCCCGCUCUGUGGGUAGUUCGGGUUUCCAAGGAUAAAAUUCCUUUGAAGGAAGCUGGGUGUGUUACUCUGGCUUAUAUCAGGGACUCCUGCUGAAUCUUCCUGGGACAGGGAGGCCAAACCAGCACCGCCUUGCUCAGGAGCUGGCCAGUCCCCUUGGCUUUGCCAUCACUCAGAUUUGCUGCAGGCAAAAUGGGAGAGCCACGCAUUCAAAGAUUUACCCAGCCUCGAUCCACCGAAAGCCUUUUGGCACCAAUCUCCCAGGGCCUCUCUAGCCCAGACAAGAAAUCUCUUCUUUUCCUUUGCUGGAAUAUGCUAAUCUGCUUGUCCUUAGAAGACAACACAUGUGCCAGUGAGGAAGUGCCUGGGGCGUGUGCGGGCCCAUCAUGCCUUCUGGGAGGGUGCAGCCACAGCCAUGGUUAUCGGCUUUGGAAAUUCAAAAAGAGCCUCUGGUGUCUUCCCCUUCUCUUCAAGGAGCCCGCCUGCGCCAGAGCUGGUGCCUGCCCAAGCAAACCAUCAGGCCGGAGUCCAGCUUCCGGAAUUAUUGGCCUGGUGCUCAGAAACCAUUGUCAGGAAAGCCUUGGGUAACCGUCCUCCGUGGUGGGUGCUAUGAGACCAGAACCACUCGGAGCCUUCCAGGGUGGGUGCGAUGGCAGCUGGUGUCCCAUCCGGGACGCAGCCUCACACUGGGAAACCUCAGACCUGCGUGCUGGCGUCUGCUCCAGGUAGAACAGCAGCUUUGCUGAGAAACCUCGCGGUGGUGUCCUGAGCUUUACAGGGCCUAUAAGAAUAUGCACAGGGCGUGUACUUGGUACAGCAGUGAACAUGCUGUUUGGGACACCUACACCUCAUAACCGAGUGCCAGGGUUCGAGUCCUCGCUCCACUUUUGAUCCAACUUGCUGCUAAUGUAGCAUCCUGGGAGGCAGCCGGUGAUGGCACGAGCUCUUGGGUCCCUGCCGCCCAUGUAAGAGACCGAGGUGGAGUUCCUGGCUCCUGCCUUCUGUCUGGCCCAACUCUGGCUGUCGCAGGCAUCCGGUGGACAAACCAGCCGAUGAAAGAUCUGUCUCUCUCUGCAUUUCAAGUUAAUAAAAAAUGUAAAAUGCAUGCAUGAAAUGCAAACGAACCAAAGGAAGCAUCAGUGGGGCUCUCCUUCCACGGCGUGUAUGUCUGGGGAGCAGAGAAGGCCCCCAGGGCUCUGUUCCAGAAAGUGCUGUAGGCUCCAGAGAGAAAGGGGCCCCGCUGGACCACAAGUGAGAACAAUGCCAGGCGCUCCCCACGCUGCAGGUGUGUGCGUGGGGGACUUCUUCCUGAAGCUCCGGGGUCAGGGGCCGGGGCCCAGAGGCCUGGCUGCGUUUAUUGUCCAUUGUCCCAGGCUGGGACAGGAAGCACUUUCUGUUCCCAAUUGCUCGGGUGGAUUAAUUUACGGCGGGGAGCUCGGAGUUGGCGCCAGCACCUGUGUUCCCCUCCGAGAGGCCAGCUUCCGGGCUUGGGGGUGUUUCAGGAGGGGUCCCCUCUGCACAGAUGUGGCUCCCCCCAACCCCAGCCCUCAGCUACUGCCUCUGCCCCCCUCCCCAUGGGGCUCUGGACUCCAGCAGCAGCUCUGGGAAUCUGCACCAGCUUGCCCCCUCAACUCUACACCUCCUACCCUCCAAACCAGGACAUCUGGUGGGGGGAGGCUUAGCCCUGUGGGGUCCACACCAAAGUGGCCAAUAAGGAGCAAUGGCAACGAACCCCAAGUGACAGCAUCCUGCCUUCUCCUGGGUAUCUGCUCACUCCCUGUCAUGUUCAGGCUUGGGUGGUGCACACACACUCCUCUCUUUCAUUUGGUGGGUAUUGUGAGCCCAUUCUACAGAUGAAGAAACUGCCCUCCAGAGAUGUGAGGCACCCAGGUCGUGGAUAGAAGUGGUGGGAUGCACACUUGGGUCUGUUCUAGGUCUCUGAGCUCUCAGACUCACAGGGCUGCAACGGCAGGAAGCUGUGGGCGUCAAGGAGGACAAGGGGACCCUGCACCAUCUCCAGGGGAGAACGGCUCUGCUGCUUACCUCCAGCCCUCUGCAGUCUGGUAGUAAGGUGGGUCCAGUGUGGCCAGACUCUUCCAAGGAAUCACCACACUGUCCAUGCUAGUAACUCAGUGCAUUUCUCAUCCCUGGAUGGCACGCUGCCCAUGGGCCCUGCGUUCCUCCACUGCCCUGUGCCACCAGACCACUGUAGACAGUGAGUACCUGCUGUAUCAUAGGGGGCUGAGCCAGCGCCUCCCCACCGGGACCCAGUCAGCAUGUUCAGAUCCUCCACAGAUGGCAGGCACUGUGCUCCAAGCAGACUCAGGCUCAAAAGGGCAGCAACCCCCCUUCCCGGGGGUCUCAGCUAAUGCAGGCCAGGUAGCUCCUUGGGUCCCCGCCAUAUCCAUCAAAGGACAGAGGAGGAAGACUGGAGUUGGGCGGCAGAUGCUGACCCUGACCCUGUUUGUCCAGGCCCUGCCUUCCUUUCACUAGGAUACCCUGGGAUGGUCACCUAUCCCUCACCCACACUCACCACCAGCUGCCACUGCCAGCACAGCCCACUUGCCAUGUGUCCCUUUAGGAGCUGUGCCACCACACUUUUCCCACGUAAUCUUAGCUCUCUGGUGGCUCAGGACGGCUCUACUCCCCCUCGCUGUGCCCCAGCAGCCUGCCCUUUGAAGGGCCAUGGCCACCUCCCCUAGGUGCUGCCUCCCACCCAUGGUGGUGGCGGGGACGCAGUAUCGCGUGGCCCCGGAUGCAGGUUCGCCUGCUGUGCCCCUGAGUGACAGGGCUGCCCUUUGUGGAGGGGGAGAUUAGAGGCAGGCUGGAGGCUGCGCGGCCCUCACAGGGCUGACAGGAGACGUCAGCCCGGCACGCCGCCUGCCGCCCAGCCUGGGGGGAGAGGGGGGCUCUUGACAGGCCUGGAGGGGGUCCAGGAGGGAGCGCCAGGGAGGGGCCGGCUCCUCACACACAAAGACCGGGCCUGUCUUCACACCUGCGGGACACGCAGAGCCCAGGGCUGGGGGAGCGCAGGCCGUGGGGAAUGAAUAAUUCGCUCUGAAAGAAGCAUGUCACGGGGAGAUAGCUCAGCCAGACACUUCAAAUAAAGGCGAGCAGCCGCGGUGACAGGGGACAUUCUUUGCCGCCGAUGCGCUGCAGGGACCUAAGUGCUGCGAUGUCGAGAGUGGAGCCUUGAACCCUUCAGAGUUAUUUUUAUUAAAAAAAAAAUGAGAAAGAAGAAAAAAAAUCCCACCGCAGAAGCAGGGCUGAGCGUCGGAGCCCUGAGAAAGGCCAGAUAAUGAGUGCUGGCACCUUCAUUCUACCUUUGUCACAGAGAGCCACACUUCCUGGACACACCUGGAGAGCCAGGGCUGCCUGCUCUCCCCGCCUCUAAACCUCCGGCCAGGCUGUUCCCCGCCUGGAACGCCCUCCCACCCUGCAUCCUCUCCUCAGAAUCCUGCCCAGAUUCCAGGACUGACUCAGAACCCCCCAGCUCCGGCUCCCCAAAUUCCAGAACCAGCUGAGGAUCACAGCACGCAGCCGGCCGCCCCAGCUUCUCUCGCCCUCCUCGCUUGGUGUCUAGGCGUGUGACGGUAUCUCUUGACGUAUUUAUCUCACCCAGCCAGCCAGGAUCGUGUUCACUCCUAUCCCAUACCCAGAGAUGACCACUUGCUAAAUGUCAGCCCACAAAGACAGUCAUAGUGAAGGCCACAAAUCACAGGGCCACAAGUACUAGGAUUGUCGUGAGGAAAAAAAAAGAAAAAAAAAAAAAAACCUUGGGGCCAGUGCUUUGGUGCUGGCAUCCAUAUGGAUGCUAGUUUGAAUCCUGGCUGCUCUACUUAUUUAUUUAUUGACAGGCAGAGUGGACAGUGAGAGAGAGAGAGAGACAGAAAGAAAGGUCUUCCUUUACCGUUGGUUCACCCUCCAGUGGCCGCUGCGGUCAGCGUGCUGUGGCCGGUGCACCGCACUGAUCCGAAGGCAGGAGCCAGGUGCUUCUCCUGGUCUCCCAUGCGGGUGCAGGGCCCAAGUACUUGGGCCAUUCUCCAUUGCCUUCCUGGGCCACAGCAGAGUGCUGGCCUGGAAGAGGGGCAACCGGGACAGAAUCCGGCACCCCGACCGGGACUAGAACCCUGUAUGCCAGCGCUCUACUUCUAAUCCAGCUCUCUACUAUGGCCUGGGAAAGCAGUAGAAGAUGGCCCAAGUCCUUGGGCCCCUGCACCUAUGUGGGUGACCUGGAAGAAGCUUCUGGCUCCUGGCUUCAGAUUGGCACAGCUCCAGCCAUUGUGGCCAUCUGGGGAGUGAACCAACAGAUGGAAGACCUCUCUCUCUGCACCUCUCUGUAACUGCCUUUCAAAUAAAUAAAUAAAUCUUUGAAAAAAAGUUCAUAGGGAAAAUGCAACUAAAUGUUAAGUUGAUUUUGGUGCAAAACUUCUGCAUUAUUUUUUGUAAUAUGCAUUUCCAUGAACUUUUUGAAGACUUUCGGUAUUUGAGUAUUAUCUUAAUUUUUAUAUUAGGUAUAUGCAUUUCUUUUUUAAUUUAAAAACACAUUCUUUCUUAAAAAUGCAUUUAUUUAUUUAAGAGAUAGACAGAGAUAGAGCUCCUCCUGUCUGCUGAUUCUCUGCCCAAAUGCCGGCAACAGCCAGGAGUGGGCCAGGAGCCAGGACCUCGUUUACUUGAGAGAUCACCACUGCUUCAGGAUCUGCACGAGCAGGACGCUGGAGUCAGGACCCAGAGCUGGGAAUCCAGCCCAGGCCCUCCAGUAUGGGAUGCAAGCAACUCAACAGCUAGGGUAGAUGCCUGCUCCCUAAAAACCUGUUCUUAACCCAUGCGGUUCAGCAACACGCAGCCCUUCCCCAAGCAGGGACUCCGAGGCCUGGCUUUGGUUCAGUCAGAAGAGGGCUAGGGAGUCGGUGGCGGGAGCUCCAGUGAUGGACAUAGGAAGGGCCAGCACAGGCCUUGGCCAUCAUCCUACGUCCCAGGGAUGCAGCGCUGCCUGCACACCUCCCUACCGGCACCGCUGGUGCCAGAACAGGGUCACAUGAUGCCACGGUUCGAGUGUUCCCCAAGAUUUCACGUUAAUCCCCUUGUUUACAUGUUGAUGGCCUUUAGAGGUGAGGCCCUCAGGGUGUGACUCGGAUCAGGUGCGGUUCAGAGGCUGGGGCCCCACAAGGGCUCCACGAUGCCGUGAGUGGUUUCAGCUCACCACCCCGGGGAUGCCCUCCACCUCGCUGGGAUGCCACGAGUCGGCCUGUUUCAGACUUCCAGCCCCUAGAGCCAUGAGCCGAACACACCAGUCGGGGCGCCGGAUUCUGUCCCGGUUGCCCCUCUUCCAGGCCAGCUCUCUGCUGUGGCCAGGGAAGGCAGUGGAGGAUGGCCCAAGUGCUUGGGCCCUGCACCCCAUGGGAGACCAGGAGAAGCACCUGGCUCCUGCCAUUGGAUCAGCGUGGUGCGCCGGCCGCAGCGUGCCAGCCGCGGCGGCCAUUGGAGGGUGAACCAACAGCAAAGUGUCUCUCUCACUGUCCACUCUGCCUGUCAAAAAAAAUAAUAAUAAUAAAAUAAAAUAAAUCACCCGGCCUGUGGCAUUCAGUUCCAGAACAGAACCCGUGGGCAGUCCAACUACCAGGGAUCUGGGAAGUGGGGCAGGGUGGAGUGGUAGGUGUAACCCAGGUGUAGCCCAGUAGGGCCGAGUGGUAGGUAUAACCCAGGUGUAGCCCAGUAGGGCUGAGUGGCAGGUGUAGCCCAGGAGGCCUCUUCUGAGCCAGAGGGCCUCCCACUCACUUCCUUUUCCUCUUGCUGUGAGUUGACGGCGACCUGGUCCCUUGGUGGCUCCCUCUUCCAUGGCCCUGGUGUCCCCUUCUUCCCAUCCCCUCCCCUGUCUGCUCAGCCCUCAGCUGUCCCAAAUGAGAGCUUUUUUCGUUGCCUUCCAAACCACAGCUCUUCCCCUCCCAGAAUAUUCUAGAAAGGCAUUUUUCUAAGGAAAGCUGGUUCCCUCCAGGAGAAGGAGCCUGGUGCUGGUGACCCAGACUCAGUAUCCGUCUCGGGACACUUGGAUUUUUUUCUGCCCUAAGCAUCAGAGUGAGUGCAAUGUUUGGGGCCCAAGUGAAAAGUACUCGGUUCCUGAAACAGGAAAUCAACCCCGUGGAUCCAGCAAGAGGAACGGCAGCCCGGGACGCCCAAGCUGAAGUAUCAGAGGUAACCGCAGACCGCAGGGGAUCUCGGGGCAAAGAGUCGCCAGUUCUAUGUUGACUGAAUGUCGGGGUUUUUCUCUUGGCGUGGUCCCUCGGUGGGUGCCAGCAGGUAAUACUAAGCAAUAGUGACUCGCCUUACGUUCAGGUUUCCUCAGUUCCCCUUCGAAAGCUUUAAGAUAUUCAGAGCAGGAGCAGGCGCUGUGGCUCAGCAGAUGAAGCCACGGCUGGAGUGUCUGCAUCCCACACUGCAAAGUCUAGUUCCAGCCCUGGCUACUCCGCUUCCCAUCCAGCUUCCUGUGACUGUGCUGGAAAGACAGCAAAUGAUGGCUCCAGUGCUUGGGCCACUGCCAUCCGUGUGGGACACCUGGAUAGGGAUGCAGGCUUCUAGCUUGGGCCAGGCCCAGCCCUGGCUACUACAGGCAUUUGGGGAAUGAACUAGCACAUGGAAUCUCUCUCUCUCUCUCUCUCUCUCUCUCUCUCUCUGCCUUUCAAAGAAAAAUUUACAAAUAUAAUGCAUUGCCGCCUGCAAUGGUGCUGUCCCAUAUAGGAGGCGAUUCGAGUCCCUGCUGCUCCAUUUCUGAUCCAACUCCCUGCUAAUGGCCUGGGAAAAGCAGAGAAAAACAGCCAAAGUGUUUGGGUCGCUGCCUCCCAUGUGGGAGACCCAGAUGAAGCUCCAGACUCGUGGCUUCGGCCUGGCUGUUGGAGCCAUCUGGGGAGUGGACCAGAGGAUGGAAGAUAUCUCUCUCUGUAACUUUAACAUUCAAAUAAAUGUAAGUCUUUAAAAAAAAAUACCUAGCAAGGUGCGAGAAGCUCUGUAAUGAGUUUUCUUGACCAUGGUUGGGAUUCUCCACCAGCACUCCACCCUCCCCGGCCCCUGGCCUUUUCCUGACCUGAGUCAUCUGCAGGAAACUCACCUUUCCUCUUGCUGCCCAUUGCACUCACCUGGGGACUUUUUUUUUUUUGGCCUUUGAAGAGGCAGAAAAGCAGACAGCUAGCUCCCAGGAGUUGGUUCACUCCUGGCCCGAUGGAACAACUGAGGAAGCGACAGCUAGGAAGGAGCCCUGGGGGGAGGCCUGGGGCUGUGCCGCGCUGUGUGAGCCCUUGAAAGAGAGUGAAGAGCCAGUGGGAUGGGGUCCGUGAGGCCCCUAGAAGAGGCCAGGGCCAUUUCAUCUGAGCAUCAUGUUCCCAAAGGACCCUGGAUUUCGACUUUUUUUUUUUAAAUACCAAGUGUUUUUAUUAUUAUUUUAAUUUGAAAGAGUGACUAAGGGAG
This is a non-coding RNA of Oryctolagus cuniculus (rabbit), 17705 nucleotides long. NCBI's taxonomy places the organism in Eukaryota, Metazoa, Chordata, Mammalia, Lagomorpha, Leporidae. The record is from RefSeq and is a predicted model, not a curated record.